Molecule: ribosomal RNA, 253 nt
Filed under: uncultured bacterium
Lineage: Bacteria
Description: partial 16S ribosomal RNA
Rfam family: Bacterial small subunit ribosomal RNA
Source: RNAcentral
UACGUAGGGUGCAAGCGUUAAUCGGAAUUACUGGGCGUAAAGCGUGCGCAGGCGGUUUUGUAAGUCUGUCGUGAAAUCCCCGGGCUCAACCUGGGAAUUGCGUUGGAGACUGCAAGGCUGGAGUCUGGCAGAGGGGGGUAGAAUUCCACGUGUAGCAGUGAAAUGCGUAGAGAUGUGGAGGAACACCGAUGGCGAAGGCAGCCCCCUGGGUCAAUACUGACGCUCAUGCACGAAAGCGUGGGGAGCAAACAGG